RNAcentral lists this ribosomal RNA (779 nucleotides) under uncultured bacterium. Its description in RNAcentral is "bacterial SSU rRNA". It matches the Rfam family "Bacterial small subunit ribosomal RNA", at positions 8 to 796 of the family's 1533-position model. The record is from RNAcentral.
AGAGUUUGAUCCUGGCUCAGGACGAACGCUGGCGGCGUGCUUAAUACAUGCAAGUCGAACGAGAUCCAUUCGGUGGUAACACCGUUGAAGAUCUAGUGGCGAACGGGUGCGUAACACGUGAGCAAUCUGCCCCGAAGACCGGGAUAACAGUGGGAAACCGCUGCUAAUACCGGAUGUCCCCACCACCUCGCAUGGGGAGGUGAGGAAAUGGAUUCCGCUUCGGGAGGAGCUCGCGGCCUAUCAGCUUGUUGGUGGGGUAAUGGCCUACCAAGGCAACGACGGGUAGCUGGUCUGAGAGGACGAUCAGCCACACUGGGACUGAGACACGGCCCAGACUCCUACGGGAGGCAGCAGUAGGGAAUCUUGCGCAAUGGGCGAAAGCCUGACGCAGCAACGCCGCGUGGGGGAUGAAUGCCUUCGGGUUGUAAACUCCUUUUAGUGGGAACGAAAUUGACGGUACCCACAGAAAAAGCCCCGGCUAACUACGUGCCAGCAGCCGCGGUGAUACGUAGGGGGCGAGCGUUGUCCGGAUUCACUGGGCGUAAAGAGCUCGUAGGUGGCUUAGUAAGUCGGCGUGUUAAAUCUCCAGGCUUAACCUGGAGUCGCACCCGAUACUGCUAUAGCUAGAGUCCGGUAGGGGACCAUGGAAUUCCUGGUGUAGCGGUGAAAUGCGCAGAUAUCAGGAGGAACACCAGUAGCGAAGGCGGUGGUCUGGGCCGGUACUGACACUGAGGAGCGAAAGCGUGGGGAGCGAACAGGAUUAGAUACCCUAGUAGUCC